CCUACGGGUGGCAGCAGUGGGGAAUAUUGCACAAUGGGGGAAACCCUGAUGCAGCGACGCCGCGUGAGUGAAGAAGUAUUUCGGUAUGUAAAGCUCUAUCAGCAGGGAAGAAAUACUGACCUUACGGUCAGCAGACGGUACCUGACUAAGAAGCCCCGGCUAACUACCUGCAAGCAGCCGCGGUAAUACGUAGGGGGCAAGCGUUUUCCGGAUUUACUGGGUGUAAAGGGGGCGUAAACGGGAUCGCAAGUCUGAAGGGAAAUACCAUGGCUUAACCAUGGAACUGCUUUGGAAACUGGGAAGCUGGAGUGCAGGAGAGGUACGCGGAAGUCGCGGUGUAGCGGUGAAAUGCGUAGAUAUCAGGCGGAACACCAGUGGCGAAGGCGGCUUACUGG
Molecule: ribosomal RNA, 395 nt
Filed under: uncultured bacterium
Lineage: Bacteria
Description: partial 16S ribosomal RNA
Rfam family: Bacterial small subunit ribosomal RNA
Source: RNAcentral